Molecule: ribosomal RNA, 177 nt
Filed under: Triticum aestivum (bread wheat)
Lineage: Eukaryota; Viridiplantae; Streptophyta; Magnoliopsida; Poales; Poaceae
Description: partial small subunit ribosomal RNA
Source: RNAcentral
AUGAAGGAUAAACAAUUUGAUAUUGAUGCCAAUGAUCUAUUUGUUGAGUUGAAGUUUCUUUAAAAUUUCAUGCCAAAAGAAAAUAUCGGACCUAUUAAAAUUCUGAUUUUUUUUAAAGCGACAUGAUUGUUUUCCCAAUGCAAGUAUUGCAUAUAGAGUUUUGUUGACCAUUUCUGA